Molecule: unclassified non-coding RNA, 317 nt
Filed under: Hevea brasiliensis (rubber tree)
Lineage: Eukaryota; Viridiplantae; Streptophyta; Magnoliopsida; Malpighiales; Euphorbiaceae
Source: RNAcentral
GCCAUCCUUCUGGAAUAUUACACAGAGAACAUAUCCAUUCUGAGCUGCAUCUUCCAAAGACAGAUUCUUUUCUUCGAUCCUGUACUCGUGCAUGACCCAAUCAGUUUGAUCCCCUUUGGGUGCUUUACCUCUGAAAAAUGUCAAAGUCUUAAUCUGCCCAACCUCUUCAUUGUUGUAGUUUACAGGCCUGUCCUUUCCAGUACUUUUCCAAUACCCAAAUUGUGUGGCACGAUUCAUUCGAGCCCCACUUGCAUACUUCCUUUCUCUCGGACAAAAGAAGUACCAUUUCAGAUCUCCACUUUUCAAACACGACUUUU